Coriobacteriaceae bacterium BV3Ac1 is the source of this 371-nucleotide non-coding RNA. The record is from Rfam. Lineage: Bacteria; Bacillati; Actinomycetota; Coriobacteriia; Coriobacteriales; Coriobacteriaceae.
GGGGGCGACUGGUUUCGACAGGGUAAUUCUGAGAUGGGCAGCAGGUCGUGGUCUCCUCGCCACGUAAAACAGGGGUACAGUCAAAAUUGAAUUGACGACAACGUUCUUUCUUUUGAGCCUUCCAUGGCUCUCGCCGCUUAAUUAAGCCUGGCGCGUCUAUCCGGGGAACACUCCCGCCCCCGGUGUGACGUCAUCUAGGGAGAUGCGCUUGGGGACGUAGUCGGUAUGCCGCAAGCAAAGACUGAACCGACUGGGAUACUGCGCGCUGGUCAGCGUGUGUACAGCAUCCAAGAUUAAAUCGCUGACUGAACCUGGAGACACCUGUCAGGGAGUUGCUUUGGACCGGAGUUCGAUUCUCCGCGCCUCCACCA